UGGGAAUUUUGGACAAUGGGCGAAAGCCUGAUCCAGCAAUGCCGCGUGUGUGAAGAAGGCCUUCGGGUUGUAAAGCACUUUUGUCCGGAAAGAAAUCCUUGGCUCUAAUACAGUCGGGGGAUGACGGUACCGGAAGAAUAAGCACCGGCUAACUACGUGCCAGCAACCGCGUAAUACGUAGGGUGCAAGCGUUAAUCGGAAUUACUGGGCGUAAAGCGUGCGCAGGCGGUUUGCUAAGACCGAUGUGAAAUCCCCGGGCUCACCUGGGAACUGCAUUGGUGACUGGCAGGCUAGAGUAUGGCAGAGGGGGGUAGAAUUCCACGUGUAGCAGUGAAAUGCGUAGAGAUGUGGAGGAAUACCGAUGGCGAAGGCAGCCCCCUGGGCCAAUACUGACGCUCAUGCACGAAAGCGUGGGGAGCAAAACAGGAUUAGAUACCCCUGGUAGUCCACGCCCUAAACGAUGUCAACUAGUUGUUGGGGAUUCAUUUCCUUAGUAACGUAGCUAACGCGUGAAGUUGACCNCCUGGGGAGUACGGUCGCAAGAUUAAAACUCAAAGGAAUUGACGGGGUCAUAGCUGUUUCCU
Molecule: ribosomal RNA, 584 nt
Filed under: uncultured bacterium
Lineage: Bacteria
Description: partial 16S ribosomal RNA
Rfam family: Bacterial small subunit ribosomal RNA
Source: RNAcentral